CCUAAGUCGGAUUAGCUAGAUGGUGGGUAAAGGCCUACCAUGGCGACGAUUUGUAGUUGUCUGAGAGGAUGAUCAGCCACACCGGGACUGAGACACGGCCCGGACUCCUACGGGAGGCAGCAGUGGGGAAUAUUGGACAAUGGGGGCAACCCUGAUCCAGCCAUGCCGCGUGAGUGAAGAAGGCCUUUUGGUUGUAAAGCACUUUAAGCAGUGAAGAAGACUCCAUGGUUAAUACCCAUGGACGAUGACAUUAGCUGCAGAAUAAGCACCGGCUAACUCUGUGCCAGCAGCCGCGGUAAUACAGAGGGUGCAAGCGUUAAUCGGAAUUACUGGGCGUAAAGCGAGCGUAGGUGGCUUGAUAAGUCAGAUGUGAAAUCCCCGGGCUUAACCUGGGAACUGCAUCUGAUACUGUUAGGCUAGAAUAGGUGAGAGGAAGGUAGAAUUCCAGGUGUAGCGGUGAAAUGCGUAGAGAUCUGGAGGAAUACCGAUGGCGAAGGCAGCCUUCUGGCAUCAUAUUGACACUGAGGUUCGAAAGCGUGGGUAGCAAACAGGAUUAGAUACCCUGGUAGUCCACGCCGUAAACGAUGUCUACUAGUCGUUGGGUCCCUUGAGGACUUAGUGACGCAGCUAACGCAAUAAGUAGACCGCCUGGGGAGUACGGCCGCAAGGUUAAAACUCAAAUGAAUUGACGGGGGCCCGCACAAGCGGUGGAGCAUGUGGUUUAAUUCGAUGCAACGCGAAGAACCUUACCUGGUCUUGACAUAUCUAGAAUCCUGCAGAGAUGCGGGAGUGCCUUCGGGAAUUAGAAUACAGGUGCUGCAUGGCUGUCGUCAGCUCGUGUCGUGAGAUGUUGGGUUAAGUCCCGCAACGAGCGCAACCCUUGUCCUUAGUUACCAGCGGGUUAAGCCGGGAACUCUAAGGAUACUGCCAGUGACAAACUGGAGGAAGGCGGGGACGACGUCAAGUCAUCAUGGCCCUUACGACCAGGGCUACACACGUGCUACAAUGGUAGGUACAGAGGGCAGCUACACAGCGAUGUGAUGCGAAUCUCAAAAAGCCUAUCGUAGUCCAGAUUGGAGUCUGCAACUCGACUCCAUGAAGUAGGAAUCGCUAGUAAUCGCGGAUCAGAAUGCCGCGGUGAAUACGUUCCCGGGCCUUGUACACACCGCCCGUCACACCAUGGGAGUUGAUUGCACCAGAAGUGGAUAGCCUAACCUUCGGGAAGGC
RNAcentral lists this ribosomal RNA (1227 nucleotides) under Psychrobacter maritimus. RNAcentral's name for it is "bacterial SSU rRNA". It matches the Rfam family "Bacterial small subunit ribosomal RNA", at positions 230 to 1451 of the family's 1533-position model. The record is from RNAcentral. Lineage: Bacteria; Pseudomonadati; Pseudomonadota; Gammaproteobacteria; Moraxellales; Moraxellaceae.